Molecule: ribosomal RNA, 322 nt
Filed under: uncultured bacterium
Lineage: Bacteria
Description: bacterial SSU rRNA
Rfam family: Bacterial small subunit ribosomal RNA
Source: RNAcentral
AAUGAACGCUGGCGGCGUGCCUAACACAUGCAAGUCGAGCGCGAACGAGGACUUCGGUCCUCUAGUAGAGCGGCGAACGGGUGAGUAACACGUGGAUAACCUGCCUGGAAGUGGGGAACAACUCAGGGAAACUUGAGCUAAUACCGCAUACGUUGACUCUGCGAAAGCAGGAUUAACAAAGGUGGCCUCUUCUUGAAAGCUAUCGCUUCCAGAGGGAUCCGCGUCUGAUUAGCUAGUUGGUGAGGUAACGGCUCACCAAGGCUACGAUCAGUAGCCGGCCUGAGAGGGUGAUCGGCCACACUGGAACUGAGACACGGUCCAG